This 253-nucleotide ribosomal RNA is filed under the name uncultured bacterium. Its description in RNAcentral is "partial 16S ribosomal RNA". It matches the Rfam family "Bacterial small subunit ribosomal RNA", at positions 524 to 776 of the family's 1533-position model. The record is from RNAcentral.
UACGGGGGGGGCAAGCGUUGUUCGGAAUUACUGGGCGUAAAGGGCUCGUAGGCGGCCAACUAAGUCAGACGUGAAAUCCCUGGGCUUAACCUAGGAACUGCAACUUAGACUGGUUAACUGGAGUACUGUAGAGGGUAGUGGAAUUUCCGGUGUAGCGGUGAAAUGCGUAGAGAUCAGGAGGAACACCGAUGGCGAAGGCAGCUCGCUGGGACGGUACUGACGCUGAGGCGCGAAAGCGUGGGGAGCAAACAGG